UGCAGCUGGGGGUUCAGAUUGACUGACGGACGUACCUCCAGUGCACUCCUGGACAGGUACGCGCUGUGCAGCACGCGAAACACUGUGUUUGGGUGCUGGAUUUUUUCCUGAUGAAGGUUUAAUACCUAAACAUUCCAUCCUGCUGCCAUCUGGUAAACAACACACCUGGUCGUCCAUGCGAUGUAAAAGAAAACGUGAUCUUCAGAGUGAAAGUAGCAGUUCCUCCUGAAGGUCAGAGAUUGCAGCAUCUGAGGGCCUCUUCAAAAGAAGACGUAGUUGAUGAAGGCGUUCUGGAGCAGGACCAGAAAGACCACGACCAAGCAGCCUUGAGAUCUUAGGCAGCGUCUCCCUCAGGUCCCUCUCUAUCUCCCCACACAUCCACCAACCACUGGAACACAUCUCCAAAGUUCUGCUGGACCAGCUCAGCUUCCCCUCAGAAGAAGUGCUGCCACCUGCCAGAUGAAGGAGCCUUUUGAGAGGCAGCUGGCAUCGUGAUUGGACUGUACUUUGGUCUGUUCCAAUCCAGCUUCAGCUCCAGAGACGGCAGGCGGGACGAGUCAACGGAGGCCUGGUGGACGAAGGCAUGCAGCUGAGUACAAUCCAGAAAACAACAGAGGAGGAGUGCAGCAGCCCAGUAUAGCCUUCGACCAAAGAACUACAGACUCUUCACAACCUGCUCAAACUCUUGGUACAGGACCUCACCACACGGGUCAAGAAGGUUUCUCUCUCAUUUCUACUCUGAAGCUCACCUUCUCCUGCUCAAACUGCUGACAAAUGUUUCUGCUGCGCUAAAGUCUGGUCUCCAGAACUUCCUAAAAACUCUCAAAGUCUCUUCUGCUGCAGGUUGCUUUGUAGAACUGUUCCAGAAAACCUCACUAAACCACAUGGAGGGGCCUCAAGAUAGUCAUCCAAAUGAAACCAUACAAAAACCAAACUAGCACAACCUAAACACUAAAGUCUCCUGCAGCCUACCAGAGAACCUCUGAGAACAGAGAAUCAGGACAGGAACUCUUACCUUCUGGACAACCAACGUUGGUUCACCAACAAGAAUACAGAAUGUGUCUGACCAAAAACCUCUGAAGACUCACUACAGCCAAGAUAAAGACACAACUCACCUGCACCAAAUCCACUAAUCAUUGCACACAUUAACACCAUGUGCUAACUGUGGCUAAAGAACCACAUUUACCAAGACAACUAUCCAGUACAAAGCCCUAAAACACACCAAGAAACACAUUAAAGAUGAUUUUACUGCUGGAAGCUGCAAGCCAACGCCUAAAGAACAAACUAAAGCAAUGGAGCCAAACCCGGUUUAGUGGUGAAGAGAAGCAGAAGAAAUGUUUGUCUGCAGCUAAAUAAAGCAGGAAGACACCGAGCUGCUCAGGUGUUCCUGAUAACACCAAGCAGCCACCUGGACAGCCAAUAGGAACACAGCUUCCUGGAAGUUUUGCACAGACAAUUUGCACAGACAUUCUUGCACUGCACAUCUUUGCACUUUUAAACUUUAUUUUUAUUUUUAUUUUUUCUGUUAAAAAUUUUGCCACCCUUGUAUAUAUUGUAAAUAAAACUGCUGUAACAAUGUAAAUUUCCCCUGGAGUGGGGAGAAAUAAAGAACUUUAUCUUUAUCUUAUCUUAAGUCCAGAGGGCUGGCUUAGUGAAGUAAAUUUAGUUUAAAGUUGAAGCAGAAAGUUAACAAAGAAAGUUGAAAACCACCUUCUGAUACCUGAAAUCUCUGAGUUUUCACACAAAGAACACCUGAACAUGUCAAACUGGUUCCAUAGUAGAACCAUCAUUGUAAAAACGUCAUAGUAUGGUGUGUUGCUCCAAAAACAUUACAACCCGGCUGUCUCGGGUCGCCGAGGAGCAACACAAAAACAGGACAAACGCUGGUUUCCAGGGGGUUAGGAGGAUAUUUAUUUGAAAGAGGAAGUUUACAACAACACAACAUGUGAAGGAGCAGAAACUUUACAGCUGGCAAAGAUAUGAGCUCCAAUUCUGGAUGUUUUAGGAAAUGAAGUUCAUCAAAUGAACACUUGAUUUUUGCUGAUGACUCUCAUUAAAUUACUGAAGAAAUCUAACAUAAAAACCUGUAAACUCUCAGGCAGCUUUUGUUAAAGUUUGUCUAUAAUUCUGUCAUCAUGUUCUGGAACCAGGACUCUGCAGAAGUUCCUUCAAUCAGAUACUUGUGUGUUUCUCUAUUUAAGGCCUCAGGUUUGAACGUGCAGCAGAGGAUUAGAAAGGAGUGAUUUUAAUAUUUAAAUCAGUCCAGUAAAUGUUUGAAGUAAAAAUGAUUAAAAUGUUGAUUUAGAUAGAUUUGUGUCAAAUAAUAUUGUAGAGUCACUUAAAUAUAUCCAAAUGAGUUCAGUGUAUUUACAUUUUAUAGAAUAUUUGAUUUCUUAAUCUCAAUACUGUAGGGUCUGACCCUAAAUAUUAUAAUAAUGAUGUCAAUUUAAAUAAUAAUAUUGUAGUGUAGAGUCAUAAACUUUAAUCAGCUAAACUUACAUAAUAAAUAUCACUGCACAAUCUUAACCUGAACAUUUAUAUUAUUGAGGUAAAUUUACAUAAAUCAUGAUAUUCUAGAGUCUUAACUGGAAUAUGUCUAACAUGAAUCUUUUUGUAUUGUGCUGAUAAACAACAAUAACCCGACUUUCAGAUAAUAUUUAUUCACUGUGUAUUGGGUAGUACUCAUUCUGAUUUAGACUGAUUAGCAUACAGAACCCUGUGAUGUUUAUGGUUUACAGCUGAGAACUGGUUGCUAAAAGUACAGAAUAUUAUUUCUUGUUUUAUGUGUGAUAAUUGGCAGUAAACAUUCUAAGAAGUGGAAAUUGUCAGGGUUGUAAUAUUGCUGUUCUUUCACAAUAUUUGUCACUUAAUUGCCCUCAGGAUGCAGUCGUUGAGCUACCAGUUUUACAGAACAGGCAGAUGUUGCAGCUAAUGAUGCUGUAAUUCACAUUAACAAGGAAACAAGUCCAUCAUAAUUUGAAUGUUAACAGUUCAAAAUGAAAAGGUCAUAUACAGCUUUCCUAUUGGGUUAAAGAGCCAAAACAACAUGAAAAAUACUUUGUAAAAGCAAGAGGUCAGUAGCAGCUUUCCUUUGUUUCUUACCCCCCCCCCCCCAAAAUAUCUGUUGUACCCCCCUGUUCCCCCCCAACUAAAAUGAAUCUGGAUCCGCCCCUGUCUGACAUGAAAGCUGGGAUCAUUCUGUAGUUACCGUCCUCAAUGAGCAGCAGGUGGCGCUGUGAGCUCCUCCCCUUCCAAAGUACAGCUGGUCAGUCUAGUGACCUGCAGCAUCCCACUGUCUGAUUAGAGGAAGGAGACCCUCAUCACUCCAUGUCCAGACAGCAGAUGAAUCAAAGUCUCUGCAGAUCCGUCCUGCUGACAGAGCAGGAUGGAAAUGAAAAUGUUUCUUCACUGUCACUAAAAUAAAUCCCUGCAUUCAGCCUCUAGUACAGAAACACAUUUUGGGUGUUUUAUACUCACUUUUUGCCUCUCCUACAACGUUGAUUAGGUUGAUAGGUUAAAACAAUACCUAUCAACCAAGUACUGUAUGGUUUUUAAACUUUUCUGGUUUGUAAAAAGAAAAAAGGAGAUGCAAUACAAAAAAAAAAAAAAUCUCUAAAAUUUUAGGGGUGCUGGGAUUCAAUUUUAGGGGUGCUUGAGCACCCCAAAAAUGGGCUAGAAACGCCUGUGGUCGAAUAUCAAUUCUGGAUCAAAAGUGGAGUCUUCAAAAGUUCUCAAGAAUCUUUAAGCAGUCUCCAGAGUCUGAUCCGAAUAACGUUUAUACAAUGCAGAGGUUGUCAGAACAAACAUGAGCAAAACCUUGAGAUUACACAAAGCAUUGCAUCGUCUUAUAUACCUUCUCCUAAACACUCCUCUUCCGUUCCAGUCAUCUUAAGACCCAAUCAGGAUGUGUAUGAUAUAAUCGUGUCAAAAGUUAGACCACCUCCUCUUUUUUAUUUCUGCAAGGCUAGCAUUAUUUCUGCUUAACUCAGCAUGACAUUGGUUUCACCUCAUGAGUGCAGAUGAGGAGAGGACAUGAACUUCUGGUCUUGGGGCUUAUAUGGGCUCCAUGGGCUUCCAUUGGGUUGCCGCUUUCCACAGGAUUAUUUAAUGUACUCAUAGCUUCAGUUGACACAUUAGGUCUUACAGUCUUACCAUUAUUUGCUCUUAAAUUUGAUUCACACAUCCUAUUCGUCCAAUUUUAUCAUUUGUUCAACCUUAAAAUGCUGGCGACCUGUCCAGGUGAAGUCUGCCUUCAUCCUAAGUCAGCUUGGAUAGACCCCAGUCCCCCUGCAACUCUAAGGAGGACUAAGCGAUGUAUAGAUAAUGGAUGGAUGGGUGAAGCUUUGGUGUCCGAUUUUGCCCGACUUCACAAGUACGACUGGAGUCCACUGUCACUCCUCUGUUCCUGAAUAUAACUGAAUGUGUCAGAAAGCUUCCUGUUAGUAGGGUUAGCAUCAUCAAUAUCCACUGUCUCUCAAUGCACAACCUUCCUCUUAUAAACGCAGGAGAUAACAGCACACAUCACAAGUCAAACACUCAACGUUUCUCUGAAAAACUUCAUCCUAGAAUGGACUGCAUGUAGACAAAAGGCCGAAAUACACAGAGAAAACUAAGUUUUAAAUAAUACCUCAGGCCCCACCAAUAACUGAUUGUGUGUGAUGAAUACUGAACCCCGUGAUCAGCUUUUAUUGACAUUUUUCACAACAGCUGGAGGCAUGUUUCUCCUCAUUUGCACAAUUUUGCAUGUUUCCACCUUUUCCUGUGUUUUCACCUCCGUGUUUUUAGGACCAAAUUACCUCAUUUCCAUGCAUUGUUAAUGCCUCGCGGCCUCGGCCCUCCAAUAAAAAAUUUACUCCGUCGCCUCAGGACUCGGGCUCAUUAAAACAUAUUCCCAUCCUUGUCAUUUAGGAGCCCCGCAGCAAUGAGACUGCGCCUCAUUUUGUGUCCCGGUCUGCAGAGUCAAAGAGACUACAUGUUAAUAGAAUUCAUGAAAAGAUUUUCUUUUUUCCCCGUUGCAGCAGGACAAUUAGUCAGGCCGGUCAGACAGGGGGUCUACAGAAUCUAUUUAGUCUGAGUGAAAUUGAAUUUUGUUCAAAGCUGAUGCCACAAAUGUUUUGUUCAAAGAAAGUGAGUCAGUCUGCUUCAGUUGUAUCAUUCAGUGAAUUACCUUUCUAUAAGAAAGCAGGGACUCAAAAUGAACUUGUUGAAGUCGGUCGUAUCCACAGUCCACUGAAAGAAUACUGCAAUACAGGGAGAGGAAAUAAUGAAGAGUUUGGUGUCCUGAAAGAAGGAAAGGAUUAAACUGCCGUAGUUUGUUUAUUUUUGUGAAUCACAAGCCAGUUGGAGAUCAUUAAUAGCCAUCAAGAGUCAUUUACCAUAAUAGGGAGGUCCAUGGAAACAAGAUGUGAACUGUGAAAACUGUUGGCAGAUUUGAAAGGAUAAUUAUCUUUAUAGAAGAAAUUGCCAAAUUGAAACUGUGUUAUAAAGCUAAAACCCACUAUCUGGAGAGGAUUUAUAGAGAACUUACACUGCACAGUGCCAUGAAAAAGUAUUUGCCCCCCUUCAGAAAUCUUUUAUUUUUGCAUAUUUGUCACAUGUAAAUGUUUCAAUUCAAUUUUAUUUAUAUAGCGCCAAUUACAGUAAAAUUGUCUCAAGACACUUUACAGAACCCAUAUGCCUGACCCCCAGAGCAAGCCAAAAGGUGACAGUGGCAAGGAAAACACCCUUUUAACAGGGAAAAAAACCUCGAGCAGAACCCGGCUCUAAUGUGGGGGGACCCAUCGUCUGCUGGCCGGGCGGGUUGAGAGGGACAGAAGAGGUAGAGAUAGAGGGAUGGAGGUAGAGGGAUAGAGUUUGUGGGAGAACAACCACACAUCUGAAGCAUCCAGCUCUGGGACCAGGGACACUCGGAGAAAGGACACAAGGAGAAACAGAGUUAGUGUAAUGCAAUAAUGGUAUAUAUAGUAAAUACAAUACUAUACUAUAUAUAGUAAAUAUUUCAGACCAUCAAAUUAGUUUUAAUGUAAGACAAAGAUAACCCAAGAAAACACAAAAUGAAGCUUUUAGAUGAUUUUAUUUAUUGAAGGAAAAAUUCUGCCCAGUCCAUCUUGCCCUAUGUAAAAAAAGUAAUUGCCCCCUUAGCUACCAAUCUACCAAGUGACCAAAUUCAUUCAUCAGUUGGGUUCAGUUUCACCAUCCACACUCACAUAUGAUCACUGCCAGGCUUGUUGGAUCUAAACAUCACUAAAUAGAACCUGUCUUCAUUGUGAAGUAGCUAAAGGGUCUCAAAAAGCAGCACAUGAUGCCACGUUCUAAAGAGGUUCAAGAACAGAUGAGGAACAAAGAUAUUGACAUUCAUCAGUCUGGACGGUUCCAAAGCCAUUGCUGAGGCUCUGAGACUCCAGAGAACCACAGUGAGAGACAUUAUCCACAAAUGGAGAAACAUGGAACAGUGGAGAACCUUCCCAGGAGUGGACCAACAACCAACAUUUCUCCAAGAGCAUCAGCAUCUAAUCCAGGAGUCACAGAAGAACCCAGAGGAACAUCUAAAGAUCUGCAGCCCUCACUGGCCUCAGUUAAGGUCCAUCUACAUGAUUCCACAGUAAGGAAGACUCUGGGAGGAAAAGGAUCCAUGGGAGAGUUGGAAGGAUCAAACCACUACUGACCAAAAAGAACAUAAAGGUUCAUCUGGUAUUUACAAAUAAAUAUCUGGAUGAGCUCCAAGACUUUUGGGAGAACAUCCUGUGGACUGAUGAGUCAGAGGUGGAACUUUCUGGAAGACAUGGGUCCGUUCCAUCUGGUGUAAAGCUAAUACUGCAUUCCACAAGAAGAACAUGAUACCAGCAGUGAAACAUGGUGGAGGUAGUGUGACGGUUGGAGGACCUGGACGACUUGUCAUCACUGAUGGAGCCAUGAAUUCUGCUCUCUAUCAGAAAAUCCUGGAGAACAUCCACCAUCAGUUUGUGACCUGAAGCUCAACAUUAAUGUGUUCUGCAGCAAGACAAAUAUCCAAAGUAAACAAACAAGUCCACCUCUGAGUGGCUCAAAAAGAACUAAAUCAAGGUUCUGGAGUGCAAGGGUCAAAGUCUGGACUUGAAUCCAACUGAGUUGCUGUGACAAGACCUUAAAAUGUUACAGGAUGAGGGGGAUUGUGAACCCAAGGUGAGCGCACACAGAGCAGGCAGGAGGCAGGUCACAGUCAAACAGGCUUUAUUCUCAAAAAAUAACUUUAAUGCCACUCAGGCCAAAAACUCACUAGCCCUUGUCCAGAGGGCGGCAGGGGUUCCCGUCCUUCCACCAAGGACGGCAGGGAGGAAAACACAGGCUGCUCCUUGUCUCAGCUCCAGGCAGGCAGUCAGUACAGCAGAAUGGUCCCACAUCCCCUGCUGUGUGAAGCCAGUCUAUAUAGCAGCAGAUGGAAUCAGCUGCAGGUGUGAGGCUCUCACAGCUGCAUCUAAUCCAGUAAUCAGCAGCUGCAGAGAGCCUCGCAGACCGGCCACACACCGGCAGGGGAACGUAUGGCCAGAAGGGGGCGGUGCUGGGCUAGGCCCGUGACAUAAAAGGACAGUUCAUGAUCCAAAACCAUCUAAUGUGACUGAAUUAAAACUAUUCUGCAGAGAAGAGUGGAGCAGAAUUCCUCCAUGGUGAUGGAAAAGACUGAUCACAAGCUGGAACAAACAUUUAACUGCAAUUACUUUUUCACAGGGUGAUGAUAUAUGUUUUCAGUCAUUUUUCAUAAACAACAAUUUUAAGAUGGCAUUUUGUGUUCUGUGGGUUUUCUCUGUCUAAUAUUCAAUAAAUAUAAAUAUUAGUUUGAUGAUCUGGAAUAUUUAAGUGAGGGAAAUAUGCAAAAUAUACCAGCUACAGGUCAUAUGCAUCCAUCACAGCAGCUGAGACUCAAUCGAGAUGUAUUGUGUCCUUAUCAUAUGUAAUUAUGGAGUUAAAUCUGCUGUUUUGGAUGGUUGGAAGUUUAAACUGUUAGUUCACAUUUAGAGGAGAUGUGCUGAGUUUGAAUGUUAUGACCAGGAUACAGAAUAAAUGAUUCUAAACCCAUAUACAUAGUCUUUGUGAACUAAGAUCCUUCCAGCAGCUGAAAGCCCAGAAACAACCAGAAUCCAAACACUGUAAGCAUCUGACUAGUCAUUCUGACAAACUUUGUGAAUUUUUUAAACGUAGAUCUUCUUAGGAUUCUUGCAUUUGAUUAUCAAACUGUUCCAAGUGAUGUUUUCAUGCCAGGAGACAUUAUUUUUUAUACAGUUUUCAUUAAUCUUUCCU
This is a long non-coding RNA of Amphiprion ocellaris (clown anemonefish), 8274 nucleotides long. RefSeq lists it as uncharacterized. The record is from RefSeq and is a predicted model, not a curated record. The transcript has 5 exons. NCBI's taxonomy places the organism in Eukaryota, Metazoa, Chordata, Actinopteri, Pomacentridae.